Rattus norvegicus (Norway rat) is the source of this 69-nucleotide non-coding RNA. The record is from Rfam. NCBI's taxonomy places the organism in Eukaryota, Metazoa, Chordata, Mammalia, Rodentia, Muridae.
GGGGAUUUAGCUCAGCGGUAGAGCCCCUGCCUAGGAAGCACAAGGCCCUGGGUUCGGUCCCCAGCUCCG